UGAGAUGUCACAGAUUCUACUUUUCAUUU
RNAcentral lists this non-coding RNA (29 nucleotides) under Mus musculus (house mouse). Lineage: Eukaryota; Metazoa; Chordata; Mammalia; Rodentia; Muridae. The record is from RNAcentral.